This 160-nucleotide small nuclear RNA is filed under the name Phaseolus vulgaris (common bean). Its description in RNAcentral is "U1 spliceosomal RNA". It matches the Rfam family "U1 spliceosomal RNA". From Rfam's summary of the family: U1 is a small nuclear RNA (snRNA) component of the spliceosome (involved in pre-mRNA splicing). Its 5' end forms complementary base pairs with the 5' splice junction, thus defining the 5' donor site of an intron. The record is from Rfam by way of RNAcentral. Lineage: Eukaryota; Viridiplantae; Streptophyta; Magnoliopsida; Fabales; Fabaceae.
UGAAUUAUCUGGAUGAGGUCUAUGGUUGAUCAUAAAGGACCAUGACCUACAACAGUGACCUUCAUUACACUUUGAAGGGGUGUUGUUCUAGGUCUAUCCAAAUGGUAGAGUUUACAUCAUAAUUUUGUUGUAGAGAGGGCCUGCAUAUGCGUUGUUCUUA